This 25-nucleotide non-coding RNA is filed under the name Cricetulus griseus (Chinese hamster). The record is from RNAcentral. Lineage: Eukaryota; Metazoa; Chordata; Mammalia; Rodentia; Cricetidae.
AGCACCCGUGGGAGGUGGUUCCUUU